GAAGUAAAAGUCGUAACAAGGUCUCCGUAGGUGAACCUGCGGAGGGAUCAUUACUGAGUUAGGGAGCAAUCCCGACCUCCAACCCUUUGUGAACACAUCUUGUUGCUUCGAGGGCGACCCUGCCGUUCGCGGCAUUCCCCCCGGAGGUCAUCAAAACANUGCAUUCUUACGUCGGAGUAUAAAGUUAAUUUAAUAAAACUUUCAACAACGGAUCUCUUGGUUCUGGCAUCGAUGAGGAACGCAGCGAAAUGCGAUAAGUAAUGUGAAUUGCAGAAUUCAGUGAAUCAUCGAAUCUUUGAACGCACAUUGCGCCCCCUGGUAUUCCGGGGGGCAUGCCUGUUCGAGCGUCAUUUCACCACUCAAGCCUCGCUUGGUAUUGGGCGUCGCGAGUCUCUCGCGCGCCUUAAAGUCUCCGGCUGAGCGGUUCGUCUCCCAGCGUUGUGGCAACUAUUUCGCAGUGGAGUUCGAGUCGUCGCGGCCGUUAAAUCUUUCAAAGGUUGACCUCGGAUCAGGUAGGGAUACCCGCUGAACUUAAGCAUAUCAAUAAGCGGAGGA
This 555-nucleotide ribosomal RNA is filed under the name Ramularia pratensis. Its description in RNAcentral is "eukaryotic LSU rRNA". The stretch from base 197 to 350 matches the Rfam family "5.8S ribosomal RNA". Lineage: Eukaryota; Fungi; Ascomycota; Dothideomycetes; Mycosphaerellales; Mycosphaerellaceae. The record is from RNAcentral.